RNAcentral lists this ribosomal RNA (468 nucleotides) under uncultured bacterium. RNAcentral describes it as "partial 16S ribosomal RNA". It matches the Rfam family "Bacterial small subunit ribosomal RNA", at positions 28 to 507 of the family's 1533-position model. The record is from RNAcentral.
GACGAACGCUGGCGGCGUGCUUAACACAUGCAAGUCGAACGGAAAGGCCCUGCUUUUGUGGGGUGCUCGAGUGGCGAACGGGUGAGUAACACGUGAGUAACCUGCCCUUGACUUUGGGAUAACUUCAGGAAACUGGGGCUAAUACCGGAUAGGAGCUCCUGCUGCCUGGUGGGGGUUGGAAAGUUUCGGCGGUUGGGGAUGGACUCGCGGCUUACCAGCUUGUUGGUGGGGUAGUGGCUUACCAAGGCUUUGACUGGUAGCCGGCCUGAGCGGGUGACCGGCCACAUUGGGACUGAGAUACGGCCCAGACUCCUACGGGAGGCAGCAGUGGGGAAUAUUGCACAAUGGGCGGAAGCCUGAUGCAGCAACGCCGCGUGCGGGAUGACGGCCUUCGGGUUGUAAACCGCUUUCGCCUGUGACGAAGCGUGAGUGACGGUAAUGGGUAAAGAAGCACCGGCUAACUACGUG